CCUACGGGUGGCAGCAGUGAGGGAUAUUGCACAAUGGGGGAGACCCUGAUUCAGCGACGCCGCGUGUGGGACGACGGUCCUCUGGAUUGUAAACCACUUUCCCCAGGGACGAAUAUGGCGGUACCUGGGGAUUAGGCUCCGUCUAUCUACGUGCCAGCAGCCGCGGUAAUACGUAGGGCGCGAGCGUUGUCCGGAAUUACUGGGUGUAAAGGGAGCGUAGGCGGGGAUGCAAGUUAGGUGUAAAAACUACCGGCUCAACUGGUAGUCGCACUCAAAACUGCAGCUCUUGAGUGAAGUAGAGGCAGGCGGAAUUCGUAGUGUAGCGGUGAAAUGCGUAGAUAUGAGGAGGAACACCAGUGGCGAAGGCGGCCUGCUGGGCUUUUACUGACGCUGAGGCUCGAAAGUGUGGGGAUCAAACAGGAUUAGAUACCCUGGUAGUC
Molecule: ribosomal RNA, 440 nt
Filed under: uncultured bacterium
Lineage: Bacteria
Description: partial 16S ribosomal RNA
Rfam family: Bacterial small subunit ribosomal RNA
Source: RNAcentral